GAACAUAUGCUGUUCCAAUCACAAUUGGAGCAAUCGGUUUGGUUACUGUAAUUGUCAUUGUUGCUGUCGUUUUAUUUAUCAAGAAAAAUAAGAAAGUUGGAACAGAAACCGCAAAAGGUGGAAAAUCAGAUAAAGUUGUAAAAAUGGAGGAUGGAAUGGUUGAAAUUGAAUUGGACUCUCAACCAGGAACACAACAUGCAACACCACGACGAUAA
Molecule: unclassified non-coding RNA, 215 nt
Filed under: Caenorhabditis elegans
Lineage: Eukaryota; Metazoa; Nematoda; Chromadorea; Rhabditida; Rhabditidae
Description: Non-coding transcript of protein-coding gene lron-9
Source: RNAcentral